Molecule: unclassified non-coding RNA, 409 nt
Filed under: fungal sp.
Lineage: Eukaryota; Fungi
Description: partial internal transcribed spacer region
Rfam family: Eukaryotic small subunit ribosomal RNA (bases 1-46)
Source: RNAcentral
AAGUCGUAACAAGGUAACCGUAGGUGAACCUGCGGUUGGAUCAUUAAAAAUGCUAUGGUAGACUUGAGGGAACAGCGCCGCACCAUGGGCAGCACUUCCUCUGGCUCAUUUAUGAGUCAGAUGUGACCGGGGCUAAGCAUGGAACGUGACGCGCGUUCAACAAAAACCUCACGCCUAUCAUGAGUCGCUAACCCGACCAACCUCUAUGUGAACUGUUCCCGUCUCUGGCGAGUGGGUAGCCUCAAAAGCUACUUGUCAGCGCAGCUCCUUUUGAUUCAUCAACAGGUGCUGCGUCGUGGACAACUCGUCAACCCCUUUAUUACCAACUUUUUGUUAUAACAUAUCUGUCUGACAUUUUUUGUAACAUAAUUACAUAAAACAACUUUUGGCAACGGAUCUCUUGGCUCUC